GUGCUAGCUUCGGCAGCACAUAUACUAAAAUUGGAACGAUACAGAGAAGAUUAGCAUGGCCCCUGCACAAGGAUGGCACGCAAAUUCAUGAAGCAUUCCAGAUAUAU
This 107-nucleotide small nuclear RNA is filed under the name Dasypus novemcinctus (nine-banded armadillo). The record is from RNAcentral. Lineage: Eukaryota; Metazoa; Chordata; Mammalia; Cingulata; Dasypodidae.